ACGAAACACGGGCGAGCAGCUGAGGGAAGAGGUGUGUGGAAAGGGUGGUCGGGAAUGAUUGGGCGUAAAGCGGGGGAAGGGGGUCCGGUAAGGCGGAUGGGAAAGCCCACGGCUCAACCGUGGAGGGUCAUUGGAAACGGGGGGACUUGAGUGCAGAAGAGGAAAGCGGAAUUCCACGUGUAGCGGUGAAAUGCGUAGAGAUGUGGAGGAACACCAGUGGCGAAGGCGGCUUUCUGGUCUGUAACUGACGCUGAGGCGCGAAAGCGUGGGGAGCAAACAGGAUUAGAUACCCGAGUAGUC
Molecule: ribosomal RNA, 300 nt
Filed under: uncultured Lactobacillus sp.
Lineage: Bacteria; Bacillati; Bacillota; Bacilli; Lactobacillales; Lactobacillaceae
Description: bacterial SSU rRNA
Rfam family: Bacterial small subunit ribosomal RNA
Source: RNAcentral